Molecule: ribosomal RNA, 497 nt
Filed under: uncultured bacterium
Lineage: Bacteria
Description: partial 16S ribosomal RNA
Rfam family: Bacterial small subunit ribosomal RNA
Source: RNAcentral
GAUGAACGCUGGCGGCGUGCCUAAUACAUGCAAGUCGAGCGAACGGACGAGAAGCUUGCUUCUCUGAUGUUAGCGGCGGACGGGUGAGUAACACGUGGAUAACCUACCUAUAAGACUGGGAUAACUUCGGGAAACCGGAGCUAAUACCGGAUAAUAUUUUGAACCGCAUGGUUCAAAGGUGAAAGACGGUCUUGCUGUCACUUAUAGAUGGAUCCGCGCUGCAUUAGCUAGUUGGUAAGGUAACGGCUUACCAAGGCAACGAUGCAUAGCCGACCUGAGAGGGUGAUCGGCCACACUGGAGCUGAGACACGGUCCAGACUCCUACGGGAGGCAGCAGUAGGGAAUCUUCCGCAAUGGGCGAAAGCCUGACGGAGCAACGCCGCGUGAGUGAUGAAGGUCUUCGGAUCGUAAAACUCUGUUAUUAGGGAAGAACAGAUGUGUAAGUAACUGUGCACAUCUUGACGGUACCUAAUCAGAAAGCCACGGCUAACUACGUG